RNAcentral lists this transfer RNA (85 nucleotides) under Bacteroidia bacterium. RNAcentral's name for it is "tRNA-Leu". It matches the Rfam family "tRNA". Rfam says of the family: Transfer RNA (tRNA) molecules are approximately 80 nucleotides in length. Their secondary structure includes four short double-helical elements and three loops (D, anti-codon, and T loops). Lineage: Bacteria; Pseudomonadati; Bacteroidota; Bacteroidia. The record is from RNAcentral.
GCCCGAGUGGCGGAAUUGGUAGACGCGUUGGUCUCAAACACCAAUAUGGUAACACAUGUAUCGGUUCGACUCCGAUCUCGGGUAC